This 60-nucleotide transfer RNA is filed under the name Dinoderus minutus. RNAcentral's name for it is "tRNA-Cys". The record is from RNAcentral. Lineage: Eukaryota; Metazoa; Arthropoda; Insecta; Coleoptera; Bostrichidae.
GGUCUUGAAGUCUUUGUGACAUUAAAUUGCAAAUUUAAAGGAGGGUAUACCCUAAGGCUU